AUGAACGCUGGCGGCGUGCCUCAUACAUGCAAGUCGAGCGAACAGACGAGGAGCUUGCUCCUCUGACGUUAGCGGCGGACGGGUGAGUAACACGUGGAUAACCUACCUAUAAGACUGGGAUAACUUCGGGAAACCGGAGCUAAUACCGGAUAAUAUAUUGAACCGCAUGGUUCAAUAGUGAAAGACGGUUUUGCUGUCACUUAUAGAUGGAUCCGCGCCGCAUUAGCUAGUUGGUAAGGUAACGGCUUACCAAGGCAACGAUGCGUAGCCGACCUGAGAGGGUGAUCGGCCACACUGGAACUGAGACACGGUCCAGACUCCUACGGGAGGCAGCAGUAGGGAAUCUUCCGCAAUGGGCGAAAGCCUGACGGAGCAACGCCGCGUGAGUGAUGAAGGUCUUCGGAUCGUAAAACUCUGUUAUUGGGGAAGAACAAAUGUGUAAGUAACUAUGCACGUCUUGACGGUACCUAAUCAGAAAGCCACGGCUAACUACGUG
RNAcentral lists this ribosomal RNA (496 nucleotides) under uncultured bacterium. Its description in RNAcentral is "partial 16S ribosomal RNA". It matches the Rfam family "Bacterial small subunit ribosomal RNA", at positions 29 to 507 of the family's 1533-position model. The record is from RNAcentral.